Molecule: ribosomal RNA, 253 nt
Filed under: uncultured bacterium
Lineage: Bacteria
Description: partial 16S ribosomal RNA
Rfam family: Bacterial small subunit ribosomal RNA
Source: RNAcentral
UACGUAGGGCGCAAGCGUUGUCCGGAAUUAUUGGGCGUAAAGAGCUCGUAGGCGGUUUGUCGCGUCUGCCGUGAAAGUCCGGGGCUCAACUCCGGAUCUGCGGUGGGUACGGGCAGACUAGAGUGAUGUAGGGGAGACUGGAAUUCCUGGUGUAGCGGUGAAAUGCGCAGAUAUCAGGAGGAACACCGAUGGCGAAAGCAGGUCUCUGGGCAUUAACUGACGCUGAGGAGCGAAAGCAUGGGGAGCGAACAGG